UUAAAAAGCAUUCCAGAUAAAGCCACGUUUAAAGAAAAACAUCGCAAGAAAAAUUCGUGUAUGUGAGUUCUACACAAUAAAAUUACAACUUUAACCAAGUGGGAGCGUUACAACACCCCCUCAUCAAAAGUACAAGUAUUUUGGCUGUGUUUUGUUGUUAGUAGUUAUGUACGUUUACUUGUAUAUAAUUAAUCAAUAGCAAUCAAUACCAAUUACCGCCUUUUUAACAAUAGUUGUGUGGCGUGUUAUUUAAAUUGAAAAAGUAUUUUGGUCGACAAUGGCGUCCUGUGAACAAGACCUUAAAUCGUGUGACGUAGAGAUGUUGAAUAAAUUAGUGGAAAUACCUGCAAAUAAAUGGCCAGUAUUACGUGAUUUGUAUACAAAACGUAAAGAUCGUGCUGCUUGUUACAAUCUGUUACAAUCUUUUAUCAGCUGGAAGAACAAGGAACCAGAAUUGGAAUUAACUAUAUAUUCACUUAAUGGCGAUUGGGAAGCAGAUGGUACAUUUAUUGCAAAGUUUUUAAAUCAAAUAUUUUUCAAUACAUGCUCUGAUAAUGUACAACAAGUAUUAAAAGCUUUAAAAUGUCUGGAUCCCUCGGAAUAUUAUGUCUUAUCGGGAUAUCAAGACUUCCUGGUACCUGUAGUAAAGCAAUAUUUAAAAGACUGUGGUUUCGAUGAGGCAGAUUAUAAUCCUACCAGUACCUUUUGGUAUCAUAUACCCAAAGAGCAGGCUAAACAAUUUCAAAUCGAACCUCCCAACAAUAUAGAACUAAAGCCCCUAGAAGAAUGUCAUGUAGAACAAAUAAACAACAUGUGGUCCCAUAGAUUACCGUACUCAGUUGAAAUGAUCACCACACUAAUACGUCAUAAUGAAUCUGUUGGUAUAUUCGAAGAUGAAAAUUUAGUGGGAUGGUGUUUAAUACGCCCAUUAGGAUCUCUUGGUCUACUGCGCAUAUUGGACUCUCACAAACGCAGGGGUCUCGGUAAUUUGGCUGUUCGUUAUUUGUCAAAAUUUUUGGCUGACAAUGAUAUUGAAGUGGCAGCUACAGUGGUUUUUGAUAAUGUGCCAUCUUGUUCCAUGUUUGAUAAACUGGGUUUCAAAGUUAUCGAUAAAGUGUAUUGGGUCGAUAAACCGGCAAAUAAAUGAAUUUCAAUUGUCAAAAAAAGUUUUCAUAUCCUUAAAACGAAUACUGUAAUGCUGACAUCGCACGAUGGGCCAUUGGUCUAAGUUAUUGUGAUAAGAAAGCCGAAAGCAUACUAAACUGAAAUUUAGCUACGCAAAAUGGCGGUUCCAAUAUUAUGCAUAUUUUUUUUUAAAUAUUUGUCUUUAACAUGCAUUUAAAUUGUUGAUAUUUUGAAAAUAUUUUUCGUUAAUUUGAAAAAUAUUGAAUUUAGCUACGUGAUCAGCGAUAUGAUUUCGUAAUUAGAUUCCAACUAUUCUAAUUAUAGUAUUCAGUAUAAAUAAAUUCACAAAACAAAAAUCCCUUAACGAAGUGUAAAACAAAUACAUAAGACGGCCAAGUUUAAGGAUUUUAAAAUGUACUUUUGAUCACAAACAAAAGAUAUAGAAAUUCUGGCCCAUCGUGCGCAAAUGUAUUGCAUACAAAUAAAAGGCAAUUUAUCGUUGAAGCAUGUAGCUUUCUUAAAAUUUUACAGGACAUCAUUUUUAAUGAACGGGCAACGAUAUUUAAGCUACAGUAAGUAUACAUCAGCGAGGAAGGUGAAAACUUAUUUAGAAAUAAUGUUGAAAAAAAGUAAUAAUAAUAAUAAUAAUAAUAAUAAUGAUAGAAAUGUUAAAUUAUAAAUUCAAUAAAGUUUAAACAAAUUUA
RNAcentral lists this unclassified non-coding RNA (1829 nucleotides) under Lucilia cuprina (Australian sheep blowfly). Its description in RNAcentral is "uncharacterized LOC111674663, transcript variant X2". Lineage: Eukaryota; Metazoa; Arthropoda; Insecta; Diptera; Calliphoridae. The record is from RNAcentral.